This 329-nucleotide ribosomal RNA is filed under the name uncultured eukaryote. RNAcentral describes it as "partial 18S ribosomal RNA". It matches the Rfam family "Eukaryotic small subunit ribosomal RNA", at positions 1470 to 1796 of the family's 1831-position model. The record is from RNAcentral.
CCCUUAGAUGUUCUGGGCCGCACGCGCGCUACACUGAUGCAUUCAGCGAGUCUAAAACCUGCUCUGAUAGGGGUGGGUAAUCUUUUGAAUGUGCAUCGUGAUUGGGAUAGAUGAUUGCAAUUUUUCAUCUUCAACGAGGAAUGCCUAGUAAACGCAAGUCAUCAGCUUGCAUUGAUUACGUCCCUGCCCUUUGUACACACCGCCCGUCGCUCCUACCGAUUGAAUGAUCCGAUGAAUAUCAUGGAUUGAGGAUGCAAGUAGGUUAGCCUAUCUUCAUCUUCGAGAAGUGAAGUAAAUCUUAUCAUUUAGAGGAAGGAGAAGUCGUAACA